RNAcentral lists this ribosomal RNA (253 nucleotides) under uncultured bacterium. RNAcentral's name for it is "partial 16S ribosomal RNA". It matches the Rfam family "Bacterial small subunit ribosomal RNA", at positions 524 to 776 of the family's 1533-position model. The record is from RNAcentral.
UACGGAGGAUGCAAGUGUUAUCCGGAAUCACUGGGCGUAAAGCGUCUGUAGGUGGUUUAAAAAGUCUACUGUUAAAAAUUGAAGCUUAACUUCAAAGAUGCCGUAGAAACUUUUAAACUUGAGGAUGGUAGGGGUAGAGGGAAUUUCCAGUGGAGCGGUGAAAUGCGUAGAUAUUGGAAAGACCACCAAUGGCGAAGGCAGGUCUCUGGGCCAUUACUGACACUGAGGAGCGAAAGCAUGGGGAGCGAACAGG